Molecule: RNA transcript, 2607 nt
Organism: Morone saxatilis (striped sea-bass)
Lineage: Eukaryota; Metazoa; Chordata; Actinopteri; Moronidae
Gene: prkar2aa
Gene name: protein kinase, cAMP-dependent, regulatory, type II, alpha A
Exons: 12
Source: RefSeq, a predicted model, not a curated record
GCUUGCUAGAGCCAGCGGUUCAUUCGUGCGUGUAGAGCUGUGGAGUACCUCGCCGGGAGGGAAGAAACGUGUUUUCAGUCAUUUUUUUUACAGGCUUCUCUCGUUGUAAUUAGCCGUCAUACUGCUGGAAUAACACAAAAUAAAGGUUUCGUCGGUACUUUGGGUUGUGCUUAACGGCGGUGUGGCGCAACGCUUUAAACGCUGAGCUUUACAGGAUUUGUCACCUGGCUGCAGCAGCUGACUUACUGUGUCCUGAGGAGAGUGGAGUCGCUGGGCAGCCGCCAAAAGAAAACACACAGUUGCUAACAAAGUAGUUAGCAAGUCAGCCAGUUAGCCUGCCAGCUAGCCACCUCUCGCUACUGCCACAGCAAGUCCCACCCUCACCGAGUGCGUGGACGUCGUAAAGAAGCUGCAGCGGUGAAGUCGAGUGCUUUUUCCUCUCAACUCAGCCAGCAUCGCGCUACCGCUGGCUGGCGAAGCUAAAACAGCUCCCUAAACGUUAGCUAGGUGACUCCAACGUGAAAAAUUGCUGGCUUUAACGUCGGACAAGUGUCUUCUGUGGAGGGAUACGGUCGCUACACUGGCAAAGAGACUGGCUAAAAAGAAGAGGCGAAAUAAGAGACAACAAGGAAGACACCGAGAAGGAGGGGACUGGCUAGUUUAGCCGGGGAGAAAGAUUUUCACAUAGAUAGCAAACGCCGCCACUGAGCCACGCACAGCCAUGAGUAUUGAGAUCCCGGUGGGGUUGACAGAACUGCUGCAGGGCUACACUGUGGAGGUGCUGCGACAAAGGCCGUCAGACCUGGUGGAUUUUGCAGUACAGUACUUCACCCGUUUGCGGGACACCAGAAGUCAGGAUGGGGCCAGUGCUGGUGGAAAGACAGGGAAAGGUGUGAUGUUUGAUGGGGAGCCAAUGCAAACAGAGUCCAACGGAGAGGACGACGAAGAUGAUGAUUCUGACUUUGAGCCUCCACCACCCAGCAGAUUCAACAGGAGAGUGUCAGUGUGUGCGGAGGCGUUCAACCCAGACGAUGACGACGAGGACACGGAGCCCAGAGUGGUUCACCCAAAAACAGAUGAACAGCGCUGCAGACUGCAGGAGGCCUGCCGAGACAUCCUACUCUUCAAAACACUAGAUCAGGAGCAGUUCUCACAGGUGCUGGACGCCAUGUUUGAGCUGAGGGUUCAGCCCCAGGACCAUGUCAUCGACCAGGGAGACGAUGGAGACAACUUCUACGUCAUAGAGAGGGGUAUUUAUGACAUAGUGGUAAUGGGAAAAUGCGUGGGUCAGUAUAACAAUAAGGGCAGCUUCGGGGAGCUGGCACUCAUGUACAACACGCCACGUGCCGCCACCAUCGUUGCCACCCAGGAGGGGGCGCUAUGGGGACUGGACCGCGCCACAUUUCGUAGACUCAUUGUGAAGAACAACGCCAAGAAGAGGAGGAUGUACGAGUGUUUCAUUGAGUCUGUGCCCCUACUCAAAUCACUGGAGGCAACAGAGAGGAUGAAGAUAGUGGAUGUAUUAGGAGCCAAACAGUUCUCAGAUGGUGAGCGCAUCAUCACACAGGGAGAGAAGGCUGACUGCUUCUAUGUUGUAGAAUCUGGGGAGGUCAAGAUCAUGAUGAAGAGUAAAACAAAGGCAGACCAUGCAGACAAUGCGGAGGUGGAGAUAACGCGCUGUAGCAGGGGUCAUUACUUUGGGGAGCUGGCCUUGGUCACUAACAAGCCCCGGGCCGCCUCAGUCUACGCAGUGGGCGAUGUCAAGCUUUUGGUAAUAGACGUGCAGGCGUUUGAGCGCCUCCUGGGCUCCUGUAAGGAGAUCAUGAAGAGGAACAUCGCCCACUAUGAGGAGCAGCUGGUUGCCCUGUUCGGCUCCAGUAUGGACCUGAGAGACUGAGCCUCCCACACCACCCUCCGUGCCUUCUAUCACACACACACACACACACACACACACACACACACACACACACACACACACACACACACACACACACACACACACACACACAUGGAUACAGAUAAUCAAAAACACAUAGGUUACCACACUUGCAAAAACGGACACACCGUGGUAAAACGGAGACGAAAAACUAAUGAAAAAUCUCUGAAAAGGAAAAUGAAUCAAAAAUGCAAAAAAAGAGAGAAAGUUUAAAGAAGACAGAUACGUUUUAGAAACAUUUUAUGACGAUACAAACAGAAGCUUUGAUAAAAUAUUAUUUAAAUAAAAAAAAGUGUUUCCUCUUUGGGAGGCCGGGGUGCAGAACUUUGUGGGGUGCGCUCCAUUUCUUCCUCUACUGUUGUUGAUUGAGUUGAGUUAGUGCUGGUGAUUAUUGCAGUACCACAGAAGAAGCAGUGAAAACAAUAACAACCCUAUGUUUUCUAGGUCAUUGUUAUUCUAUCAUUGACGCCACACUUCAUUGUAUUGAAUUAAUUAUUAAUGUAUUGUUAUUAUAUAUUCAUUUAUUAUUUUUUGUUUUACUUUGACCAAUUCUGAUAAAAUUCACCAUCCAUCUCUGACAAAAUGUAAAAACUGAAAAAAAAAUUCUAAUAAAAACAGUAGUGCUUAUUUCUCCUUGAUUAUCCUUGAAUGAGUUGUCCUGGAUAAAAAAA